Molecule: unclassified non-coding RNA, 187 nt
Filed under: uncultured fungus
Lineage: Eukaryota; Fungi
Description: sequence contains ITS1
Source: RNAcentral
UUGUCGAUUGUGUAUCACUGAGACGCCAGGUACGAGGGUUUGAGUGGUCUGGGGGGCUCUCGGUGGAUGAUCCACCGGCAGCCAGCAAACUGCAGGACCCCCCAAGCAAAGGGUAGAGAAGACAUGGGUGGAGAUUCGGGUUGCCCCUAUCUUUUUAUUGAUCCUUCCGCAGGUUCACCUACGGAAA